This 253-nucleotide ribosomal RNA is filed under the name uncultured bacterium. Its description in RNAcentral is "partial 16S ribosomal RNA". It matches the Rfam family "Bacterial small subunit ribosomal RNA", at positions 524 to 776 of the family's 1533-position model. The record is from RNAcentral.
GACGGGGGGUCCUAGCGUUGUUCGGAAUUAUUGGGCGUAAAGCGUGUGCAGGUUGUUUGAAAAGUUGGAUGUGAAAUCCUUGGGCUUAACCCAAGACGUGCAUUCAAAACUGUCAGACUUGAGUAUGGAAGAGGAUCGUGGAAUUCCUAGUGUAGUGGUGAAAUACGUAGAUAUUGGGAAGAACACCGGUGGCGAAGGCGGCGACCUGGUCCGUGACUGACGCUGAGGCGCGAAAGCGUGGGGAGCAAACAGG